Non-coding RNA from Panthera uncia (snow leopard), 73 nucleotides. The record is from the annotation of a RefSeq genome assembly. Lineage: Eukaryota; Metazoa; Chordata; Mammalia; Carnivora; Felidae.
ACCCAGCUGGCUCAAUUGGAAGAGCAUGUGACUCCAGAUCUUGGGGUUGUGAGUUCGAGCCCCACGCUGGGUU